RNAcentral lists this ribosomal RNA (253 nucleotides) under uncultured bacterium. RNAcentral describes it as "partial 16S ribosomal RNA". It matches the Rfam family "Bacterial small subunit ribosomal RNA", at positions 524 to 776 of the family's 1533-position model. The record is from RNAcentral.
UACGUAGGUGACCAGCGUUGUCCGGAUUUACUGGGCGUAAAGAGCGCGCAGGCGGUCGUUCAAGUCGGGUGUGAAAGCCCCCGGCUCAACUGGGGAGGGUCAUUCGAUACUGAUCGACUCGAAGGCAGGAGAGGGAAGCGGAAUUCCCGGUGUAGUGGUGAAAUGCGUAGAUAUCGGAAGGAACACCAGUGGCGAAAGCGGCUUCCUGGUCCAGCACCGACGUUCAGGCACGAAAGCGUGGGGAGCAAACAGG